RNAcentral lists this transfer RNA (72 nucleotides) under Vinciguerria nimbaria (oceanic lightfish). RNAcentral's name for it is "tRNA-Val". RNAcentral also lists the same sequence under 1 other name. The record is from RNAcentral. Lineage: Eukaryota; Metazoa; Chordata; Actinopteri; Stomiiformes; Phosichthyidae.
CAAAGCGCAGCUAAUGAAGGAAAGCACUUCCCUUACACCGAAGAGACACCCGUGCAACUCGGGUCGCUUUGA